Acanthosepion pharaonis is the source of this 102-nucleotide non-coding RNA. Lineage: Eukaryota; Metazoa; Mollusca; Cephalopoda; Sepiida; Sepiidae. The record is from the annotation of a GenBank genome assembly.
CCUGCAAAACACUAGUUAUCAUUGUGAAGUCUGAAGUUAAGCAACAUUGAGCCUUGUCAGUGCCUAGAUGGGUGACCGCUUGGGAAUACCAGGUGCUGCAAG